Molecule: long non-coding RNA, 5538 nt
Filed under: Homo sapiens (human)
Lineage: Eukaryota; Metazoa; Chordata; Mammalia; Primates; Hominidae
Description: HSALNT0239304
Source: RNAcentral
CUUUGGGAGGCUGAGGCAGGUGGAUUGUUUGAGGUCAGUAGUUUGAGACCAGCUAACAUGGCGAACCCUUGUCUCUUUUAAAAAUACAAAAAUUAGCCAGGUGUGGUAGUACGUGCCUGUAAUGCCAGCUACUUGGGAGGCUGAGGCAGGAGAAUCGCUUGAACCCAGAAGGUGGAGCUUGCAGUGAGCUGAGAUCGUGCCACUGCACUCCAACCUGGGCAAUAGAGCGAGACUCUAUCUCAAAAAAAAAAAAAUGAAGAAGAAGAAAAAAGAGAACUUGUCAAUGGAUACUAAAGUAAGGUAUAUAUUGGCCAAGGUACAUACAAAGGAAUAUCCAGAGACUAGUCACGCUCUCUUUUUUUUUUUUUGGAAGACAGGGUCUCACUCUGUCACCGAAGCUGGAGUACAGUGGCACAAUCAUGGCUCACUGUAUGCUUGAACUCCUGGGUUCAAGUGAUCUUCCUGCCUCAGCCUCCUGAGUAGCUGCGACUACAGGCACAUGCCACCACACCCAACUAAUUUUUUUUAGAGACAGCAUCUCACUAUGUUGCACAGCCUGGUCUUGAAUUCAAGGCCUCAAGCAGUCCUCCCACAUGGGCCUCCCAAAGUGCUGGGAUUACAAGCAUCAGCUACCGCACCUGGCCUACUCUCCCUUAUUUAAUGAAAACACAAUAAUCAGUAAUAAGCUACACUGCACUCUAGCCUGAGUGACAGAGCAAGACUCUGUCACACACACAAAAAAUAAUAAUAAUAAUAAGCUAUAAAGAAAACAUAUAAAUCUUAUAUUAGAAAAAUUUUAGACUUUUCAAAGUGCUUCACAUUCAUAUUCUAUCACACCAUUGCAAAAUAUCCUAACAGUAAGUGACAAAUCCAAAAUUACAAAAGUAGUUGAUCAGAUCUGAAACCUGAUUCAAAAAACAUGUUUGCUCUAUGGGAGGAAAUAUAAAUAUGUAUAAAUUCCUUCUUUAUGCUAAUUUUCUUACUCAUUCCUAGUUAAAAUAUCACUUAUCAGACCUAGGCUAUUGCAAACAUGGAAGUAAAAUUCAGUAAAACAAAGCCAAAAGUACCACUUUUUUUAUUUAGCCAGUCUACCCUUCAACCAGGAAUCAUAUGAAAAACAUUCCAUCAAUGUUCUGUGUGUUUAAGACUGUGCUGGGCACUGGGGUGACUAGAAGAGAAUUCAAAUAGCGUUCUUUGCUUUUCAGAAAGUAUGCACUCCAUUUGAUAAAAAGACAAGAAAAAAAGAAAACAAAGCCAAGCUGUGUUCAAACAAUCCUCCUAAAGGAAGAAAACUUACUGUGUGGUUCUGUAAAACUCCAGGUAACAAGGAUACCAAGAAGUGAGAUAGCAGAGUUUAGUCUGAAACAACCUCAUGGGGAAAAAAAAAAAAUGAAAUCUGAGCUGAACAUUGAAGGAUGGACAGGAAUUAGAAAAGCACAAAGGAGGAAUUAAAGCAUUCAGGCAGAGACUGGCAGAAAUAAAGGCCAAGAAGUGGGAAGAAGCAUGAUACACACAGAAGAGACUGAGGUGACCUGCCUGGAACAUAGGUGCAUGCAGAGGCAUAAUGGGAAAGAGUUUGGUAAAUCAAGUGGGGUCAGCUCCCAAUAGACUGCUGGGUCACAGAGACAUGCUGUUAGAAUAUUAAAAUCAUCGAAUAUUUAAACUUGAAAGAAUCUAAAAGAUUUUCUAGCCAUUUCUUUUUCAACAGAUGAGGAAAUCAAGGAUCUAUAGGAAAGCUAAUGGCUAGGAUAGGGACAAAGGCACUGAAUAGCAGAACAAAACUAAGACCCCCGCUAAGGAACUCCAAUUCAGUAGAAAAGUAUUGUGUCUUGGGAACUGGAAGAGAUUGGUUUCCGGGGGGAGUGGAACAUCACAGUGGCAUUACAACUAAGCAAUGACCACUAUGUUUUGCCAGAAGUAAUCACUUUCAAGAAAACAGCAAUCAAGCAGAGGCAGGAGCUACUUUUCAGAGUUAUAAAGGAAAUGGGUGGAUAAACAGUAGAGGCGGUGAGUAUCUGGCAACAACAACAACAAAAAAGACUGGUCCACAGAGAGAGAGCUGCAGGACCAAGUAAACGUCUGAUUUCCAAGAGAAAGGAAAUCUUAGCCUGAAAAGUGAAAAGAAAGCAGCCAACAUAAAGACUAAAUUAGUUCCCAGACAGAUAAGGUGGAAAGUGUAAGGGAGUGCAGAGAACUGAGGAACAGCUGGAAGAAAUCUUUCUAAAGGAUGAAUUCCGGGCCGGGCACGGUGGCUCAUGCCUGUAAUCCCAGCACUUUGGGAAGUCAAGGCAGGUGGAUCACGACAUCAAGAAAUUCAGACCCAUCCUGGCUAGCACGGUGAAACCCUGUCUCUACUAAAAAUACAAAAUUAGCUGGGCGUGGUGGCAUGCGCCUGUAGUCCCAGCUACUUGGGAGGCUGAGGCAGGAGAAUCGCUUGAACCCAGGAGGCAGACGUUGCAGUGAGCUGAGAUCGCGCCACUGCACUCCAGCCUGGGCGACAGAGUGAGACUCCAUCUCAAAAUAAAUAAAUAAAUAAAAAUUUAAAAUAACAAUAAUAAUAAAUUAAAAAAUUCCGAAGCAAAGAAUAAGCAUUAUUGUGCUCGAUUCAGCACCACAUAUACUAAAAUUGGAAGAAUAAGCAUUAUUUCUCACUCACCAUAAAGAAUUCGUCACCAUAAAAGAGUACUCAUUUUCAACUACUAUAAGGCCUUAUAAAAAUUACACACCAGGCUUGAAGAAUGAGGCUAGGAGAUAUUUUUUAAAUCCAAAAAGCUUCAGUUUUGCAAAUCUAUUUGUCUAAUCAGUAUGUGGUUUGUAAUUUCGAAGAUACUUGCCAAUCAUUUUAUACUGUGAAUCACUCACCGCAUAUUCAACGUACAUUCAGAUGAACACUCAAUGUAUGAGAACAACAAAUAUGCUACUACAACCUCUAAAAUCAGAGUUUAUUCCAUAACAUAUUCUUUAAAUUGGGUUUUUUGGCUUUUAUGUACUACUUUUGCUUGAUCAGAUAUGGAAAAUAUAAUUGCUUUAAAUGAACAUAUUUACAACAAAUCAUUUUGGGAUGGAGUUCUUUUUAAUUCUUUUUUUUUUUUUUUUAGUUCAAAUAUCCAUAGUUUUCCCAUACUUCCCUUCAGAAAUAAAGCUCUACAGGAACCAGUGGGGCAUACAGAACUAGGGGAGAUACACAGAAGGUUCUAAUUUGCUUAGAAACUGGGUUAAUGAACCACAAUUAAAAGCUACACAUGGCCGGGCGUGGUGGCUCACCCCAAAAUCAUUCCUCUCUUAAGUAUCUUUUUCCAAUAUGGCAAAUAAGCCUAGAGAUGAACAGGUAAGAAGUAAAAAAAUAAAAUUAAGAAAAAACUGAAAAAAAUUUUUAAUUUUUAAAAUUUAAGGAGAAUUGCGGCGUGGAUCCUUCAAUUUCCUACAUCCAGAUUCUGCUGUCCACAAGGUUCAGCUUUGGAAGUCUUCUAUGUGCCUUUUAAAUCCUUUCUUAAAAUUACAGAGUCUUUUCUACCAAGUUUUAAAUCUAACGCUCUAUCAAUAAUGUAAUCUUUUAUAUGCAGUAACAUUAUACUUCAGAUGGAUUAGUAGUUUAGUUUAGAUGCCUUUGGGUCUGGAAGCAUACGAAUGGAUAAAACAAUUCCUUCAAGUCUCUGACAGCUUCAUAACUCUAUUUUAUCUACAUAGCUUCUUCUCAACUUCCUCUGUCUAUUCCAAGAUAUUUUCCAGGUAGGUCUGAAACGCUGAGUCCCGUAAAGAAAUGUUUAUGCAUCAAAUAACAGAAGAGCUCUUCCCCCACCCCUUCAGCUCCCAUAAUGUUUUACCAUUAUAUCCAGUAAACAAAAUAGGUUGACUCAAUCUUAAACAAUUCCCCCAUCACAGGAAGCCCACUGCACCCACAGCUGCAGAAAGCAUCCCUUAAACCAUCCCCAACUACCUACAGCAACACAAAGUUAAACCAAUUUCCACUGACAAAAGGCUAUGUGUGCAUUUAUUCUAAUCAGCCCCAGGAUUUAUUGUGUGAAACUCAGGCGAUAAAAAGUCACCUCCUCAAGCUACAAAACUUUUUUUUCAUCCCAAAUAUUCUCAAUGAAAGUUCUCUUGUCAACCAGGAGAGAGUCAAAAACAACCACAAACACUAGCAGAAUGAUCCGCUCCAGGACCACAUCCCAGCUGGCUUUGCUCUGUUGUCGGUGGCUCUGAAGCAGUUUCUCACUUUCCUUUCACCCUUCUCCCCUUUACUCCCCAACAUUCUCACUCGAGAAUGCAUCACAUCCUCAGACCGCUGGCAAAAAAAAAAGGGGGGGGGGAAGAGACUGCAAUUAUCAAGGAAGGGGAAGAUAUUUCAGAACCACGGUUUCCACUGCAAACGGCAAUAAAAAAAAAAGGCAGUCUGUGUCAUCAGGAUAUGGGGGACGACGUUGUAGGGCAUCACAAAGAUGUGCAGUGAGUGUGCACUUGAAGCUCUCGGGGCAGGAUGAGACGAUGGAGCAGAAAGUAAGAAAACCUGUGCCUUCCUUGCUUUCUUCUGCUCUUCCCCCUCCAGGAGAGGAAGCUGAAGAAACUGGGGGAGGGGCGGAAUGUUAUCGUUCUCCUAUUGAGGGUAUAUAAGACAGGCCUUAGGGUUCGCUCGUCCCCAGUUAGGAGGGUCACGGAGGGAAGAGGAAGAGAGAACCCCUAAACGUUACCCACCUCUGCUCAAAAACAAAAGUAAGGGGGUAAUUAUUAAAUCCAGAUGGCGCGCCCCUAAAGGCGCCCCCAGGUCACUCAUCCCCAUUUCCAAGCGGAAGGGCUGGGAUAAAGGGGAUGGAGGGUCGGAGGCUGGUCAGGGACAAGGCCCCACCCCCCGACUUAGGAGGGAAAGGGUGCCCAAGCUCCCAGCUGUCCCCUCCUACCCCUCACCUCCCGCCUUGGCCACCCCCACUUAUCCCCCCUUCCCUUCUCUUCCCUUCCCUUCCUUUCCUCCAGAGCCUGAGGCAGCCGCGGGGGAGGCGGCCGCUCCUACCUCCCCUCACCUACUCUGUCCCCACCCCCACUCCGCUCCCACCUCCCGCCCGCCACGGGCCGGUUACCUGCUCGUCGAAGCGGCUGACCACGGCCUGGACCCAUUCCACCGGCCUGUGCGCGGCCAUGUCCUCCCCGCGGCCGGGGGGCGGCGGAGGGAAGGGUGGGCCGGCGCCCUGGGCCGGGAAGAGGGCGGGGAGCGGAGGCUGAGAGACAAGGUCUGACUCUGUGCAGUGGAGUGCAGUGGCUCAAUCAUAGCUCACUCCAGCCUCAGACUCCUGGGCCGAAGUGAUCCUCCCACCUCAAGCUCCUGAAUAGCUGGGACUACAGCUGGGCAUGGUGGCAUGUGCCUGUGGUUCCAGUUACUUGGGAAGCUGAAGUGGGAGGAUCGCUUGAGCCCAGGAGGUCAAGGCUACAGUGAGCUGUGAUGGUGUCAUUGCAUUCCAGCACUCCAGCCCGGGCAUCAGAGUUAGACCUUGUCUUAAAAAAUAAAUAAAUGAAUAAAUAUAAAUAAAAAAUAAAAAGCUUUUACAG